ACUUGAUGAUGAAUGUAAAAAGACAAGCAUAUGGCUGAACUGUGGUGAUGCCAUCUUACUACUGAACCGU
Molecule: small nucleolar RNA, 70 nt
Organism: Apodemus sylvaticus (European woodmouse)
Lineage: Eukaryota; Metazoa; Chordata; Mammalia; Rodentia; Muridae
Product: small nucleolar RNA SNORD27
Exons: 1
Source: RefSeq, a predicted model, not a curated record